This 439-nucleotide ribosomal RNA is filed under the name uncultured bacterium. Its description in RNAcentral is "partial 16S ribosomal RNA". It matches the Rfam family "Bacterial small subunit ribosomal RNA", at positions 339 to 795 of the family's 1533-position model. The record is from RNAcentral.
CUACGGGACGCACCAGUGGGGAAUAUUGCACAAUGGACGAAAGUCUGAUGCAGCAACGCCGCGUGGAGGAUGACACAUUUCGGUGCGUAAACUCCUUUUAUAUAAGAAGAUAAUGACGGUAUUAUAUGAAUAAGCACAGGCUAACUCCGUGCCAGCAGCCGCGGUAAUACGGGGGGUGCAAGCGUUACUCGGAAUCACUGGGCGUAAAGCGCAUGUAGGCGGACUUGUAAGUUGGAAGUGAAAUCCUAUGGCUCAACCAUAGAACUGCUCCCAAAACUGCUUGUCUAGAAUAUGGGAGAGGUAGAUGGAAUUUCUGGUGUAGGGGUAAAAUCCGUAGAGAUCAGAAGGAAUACCGAUUGCGAAGGCGAUCUACUGGAACAUUAUUGACGCUCAGAUGCGAAAGCGUGGGGAGCAAACAGGAUUAGAUACCCUGGUAGUC